ACAAGGAGAAGGUGGGCCCAGCAAGCCCGGAGGACACAGGCGCCAGGACUGUCACCCACUCCUGGAGAAAGGUAGGAAGGUGCUGUCUCCGGGGUUGUCAGAAAAGUCCAGAAUCCUCCUGGAGUUGAAGUCUCUCUGGGGGGCCAGGAUGGCGAGGAACCAGAACUCUGGAGCCUGUCACGUUACCCCAACGCUGACUAGUCCCAGUCCCCAGUGAGACACAAGGAGAACGUGGUACAGGUGGUGGCCCGGCUUGGGAUGAGCCGAACAACCCAGACCUGUCUGGCUUUGGGAGUCAGAGGCUCAGCC
RNAcentral lists this long non-coding RNA (309 nucleotides) under Pongo abelii (Sumatran orangutan). RNAcentral describes it as "lincRNA". The record is from RNAcentral. Lineage: Eukaryota; Metazoa; Chordata; Mammalia; Primates; Hominidae.